AUUGAACGCUGGCGGCAGGCUUAACACAUGCAAGUCGAGCGAGCGGCGGACGGGUGAGUAAUGUCUGGGAAACUGCAUGAUGGAGGGGGAUAACUACUGGAAACGGUAGCUAAUACCGCAUACAAUCAGAAGGGCCAAGAUGGGAUUAGCUAGUAGGUGGGGUAAUGGCUCACCUAGGCGACGUACCCGGGCUGGUCUGAGAGGAUGACCAGCCACACUGGAUCUGAGACACGUUCCCGACUCCUACGGGAGGCAGCAGUGGGGAAUAUUGCACAAUGGGCGCAAGCCUGAUGCAGCCAUGCCGCGUGUAUGAAGAAGGCCUUCGGGUUGUAAAGUACUUUCAGCGGGGAGGCGUUACCCGCAGAAGAAGCACCGGCUAACUCCGUGCCAGCAGCCGCGGUAAUAC
This 406-nucleotide ribosomal RNA is filed under the name uncultured bacterium. RNAcentral describes it as "partial 16S ribosomal RNA". It matches the Rfam family "Bacterial small subunit ribosomal RNA", at positions 30 to 526 of the family's 1533-position model. The record is from RNAcentral.